GAAGUGCGAUAAGCAAUGCGAAUUGCAGAAUUCCGCGAAUCAUCAGAUCUUUGAACGCAAAUGGCGCCGGAGGGAUAUCCUUCCGGCAUGUCUGUUUCAGUGUCUGAGAGGUUUCACAAAAUCUUAAUGUGAUUGACGGGUAUGAGUUCAAGUCUCGGCUUAAGCUCACUCUCAUCUCUCAUGAAAGAUGCGCGAGUGGAUCUUUCGGUCCAAUGAAGUGGUCACAUCACUCGAAUGUGAUUUCAUUGGAAAUCACCGAAUUAUCCGUAUACUUGCGGUAACUAACUAUGAUCAGUGAUUGAAAGGUGUAUUAACACUCCAGGUCUCUGAUCAUACCCCUCCAUACCCUGCAUCUGAGAUAGGCAAGAUUACCCGCUGAACUUAA
RNAcentral lists this unclassified non-coding RNA (385 nucleotides) under uncultured fungus. RNAcentral's name for it is "sequence contains ITS1". The stretch from base 1 to 105 matches the Rfam family "5.8S ribosomal RNA", at positions 50 to 154 of the family's 154-position model. The record is from RNAcentral. Lineage: Eukaryota; Fungi.